Mytilus californianus (California mussel) is the source of this 2311-nucleotide long non-coding RNA. RefSeq lists it as uncharacterized. The record is from RefSeq and is a predicted model, not a curated record. The transcript has 2 exons. Lineage: Eukaryota; Metazoa; Mollusca; Bivalvia; Mytilida; Mytilidae.
UAGUGUAUGGAUCUCUCUGACAUUGUACCACAAGGUUCCAUAUCACAAAGGGAAUGCUGGGAUUGAUUUUGGGGGUAAUUGCCUCAAAAUUUUAGGAAUUAGGGGCCAAAAAAGGGGCAAAAAACAAGCAUUUUUCUAGUUUCUUGAUAAUAACUUGUGUGUAAGUGUAUGGAUUUUUCUGAAAUUGAACUACAAGGUUCCAUAUCACAAAGGGAAAGCUGGAAUUGAGUUUGGGGGUAAUUGCCUCAAAAUUUUAGGAAUAAGGGGCCAAAAAUAGCAUUUUUCUAGUUUCCAGACAAUUACUUGUGUUCAAGUGUAUGGAUCUCUCUGAAAUUGUACUGCAAGGUACCAUACCACAAAGGGAAGGCUGGGAUUGAUUUUGGGGUAAUUGCCUCAAAAUUUUAGGAAUUAGGGGCCAAAAAGGGGAAAAAACAAGCAUUUUUCUAGUUUCAGGACAAUAACUUGUGUUCAAGUGUAUGGAUCUCUCUGAAAUUGUACUGCAAGGAACCAUACCACAAAGGGAAGGCUGGGAUUGAUUUUGGGGGUAAUUGCCUCAAAAUUUUAGGAAUUAGGGGCCAAAAAAGGGAAAAAACAAGCAUUUUUCUAGUUUCAGGACAAUAACUUGUGUUCAAGUGUAUGGAUCUCUCUGAAACUGUACUGCAAGAUACCAUACCACAAAGGGAAGGCUGGGAUUGAUGAUGGGGGUAAUUGCCUCAAUAUUUUAGGAAUUAGGGGCCAAAAAGGGGCAAAAAACAAGCAUUUUUCUAGUUUCAGGACAAUAACUUGUGUGUUAGUGUAUGGAUCUUUCUGAUAUUGUACUACAAGGUUCCAUAUCACAAAGGGAAAGCUGGGUUUGAGUUUGGGGGUAAUUGCCCUAAUUGUUUAGGCAUUUGGGGCCAAAAAGGGGCCAAAAAACACAUUUUUCUAGUUUCCAGACAAUAACUUGUGUUCAAGUGUAUGGAUCUCUCUGAAAUUGUACUGCAAGGUACCAUACCACAAAGGGAAGGCUGGGAUUGAGUUUGGGGGUGAUGAAUCAUAAGGGGGUUCAAAAAAUUGGGGGGGGGGGAUUUUUUUUUUUUUUCCUUUUUUUUCUUUUUUUCCUUUUUUUUUUCUUUUAAAAUUUUCCAUUUUAAGUUGGUUAUUUCUGAUUUAUAUUUAAAAGCAAAUAAUAAUGAUAUGGUAGGAGAUACACACCAAACAGGAUGUGUAAAUUAUUAUAUAAUAAGUAUUGUGCAAUAGCAAGAAAUUUUCAAUUGCACAGUAUUGCAAUAUAGCAAGAAAUCUUCAAUUGCACAGUAUUGCGCAAUAGCAAGAAAUCUUCAAUUGCACAGUAUAGCCCAAUAGCAAGAAAUAUCCAAUAGCACAAUAUUGCGCAAUAGCAAGAAAUUGUCAAUUGUACAGUAUUGCGCAAUAGCAAGAAAUAUUUAAUUGCACAGUAUUGUGCAAAAGAAGAUACUUCGUAUAAAUUGCUUAUUUCUUGACCAAUUUCAAUGGGGUUUUAUUCUUGAAUUCUUGGGGUUCUUUAAUAUACUGAAUCUAACCGUGUAUUUAGUUUUUGGAUUUUGGGCCCCGUUUUUAAAUUGGUCCACAUUGAGGUCCAAAGGGUCCAAAAUUAAACUUUGUUUGAUUUCAUCAAAAAUUGAAUUAUUGGGGUUCUUUGAUAUGCCGAAUCUAACCGUGUAUUUAGAUUCUUAAUUUUUGGUUCCGUUUUCAAAUUGGUCUACAUUAAGGUCCAAAGGGUCCAAAAUUAAACUUAGUUUGAUUUUAACAGAAAUUGAAUUCUUAGGGUUCUUUGAUAUGCUGAAUCUAAACAUGUAUUUAGAUUUUUGAUUAUGGGCCCAGUUUUCAAGUUGGUCUAAAUCGGGGUCCAAAAUUAAACUUUGUUUGAUUUCAACAAAAAUUGAAUAUAUGGGGUUCUUUGAUAUGCUGAAUCUAACCAUGUAUUUAGAUUUUUGAUUUUUGGGCCCCGUUAUCAACUUUGUCCACAUUGAGGUCAAAAGGGUCCAAAAUUAAACUUUGUUUGAUUUCAUCAAAAAUUGAAUUCUUGGGGUUCUUUGAUAUGCUGAAUCUAACCAUGUAUUUAGAUUUUGGAUAUUGGACCAUAAUAGGUGAAUGUCCAAUUUAAAAUUUUUAAGUUCUUAGACCACAUUCAUUCUGUGUCAGAAACCUAUGCUGUGUCAAAUAUUUAAUCACAAUCCAAAUGCAAAUCUGUAUCAAGCUUGAAUGUUGUGUCCAUACUUGCCCCAACUGUUCAGGGUUCGACCUCUGCGGUCGUAUCAAGCUGAGCCCUGCGGAGCAUUUUAUUCAUAUA